UGGCCUUUCUACUUGUCUUCUAUAUUCCGUC
RNAcentral lists this non-coding RNA (31 nucleotides) under Mus musculus (house mouse). The record is from RNAcentral. Lineage: Eukaryota; Metazoa; Chordata; Mammalia; Rodentia; Muridae.